AUACGGAGGGGGCGAGCGUUGUCCGGAAUGAUUGGGCGUAAAGGGCGCGUAGGCGGCCCGGUAAGUCUGGAGUGAAAGUCCUGUUUUUAAGAUGGGAAUUGCUUUGGAUACUGUCGGGCUUGAGUGCAGGAGAGGUAAGUGGAAUUCCCAGUGUAGCGGUGAAAUGCGUAGAGAUUGGGAGGAACACCAGUGGCGAAGGCGACUUACUGGACUGUAACUGACGCUGAGGCGCGAAAGUGUGGGGAGCAAACAGGAUUAGAUACCCUGGUAGUCCACACUGUAAACGAUGAAUGCUAGGUGUAGGGGGUAUCGACCCCUUCUGUGCCGCAGUCAACACAAUAAGCAUUCCGCCUGGGGAGUACGGCCGCAAGGUUGAAACUCAAAUGAAUUGACGGGG
RNAcentral lists this ribosomal RNA (397 nucleotides) under uncultured bacterium. Its description in RNAcentral is "partial 16S ribosomal RNA". It matches the Rfam family "Bacterial small subunit ribosomal RNA", at positions 523 to 918 of the family's 1533-position model. The record is from RNAcentral.